GCCGACUUAGCUCAGCAGGCAGAGCAACUGACUUGUAAUCAGUAGGUCACCAGUUCGAUUCCCGCUGCCCGCUCCA
Molecule: transfer RNA, 76 nt
Filed under: Escherichia coli
Lineage: Bacteria; Pseudomonadati; Pseudomonadota; Gammaproteobacteria; Enterobacterales; Enterobacteriaceae
Also listed under: 1 other name
Description: tRNA-Thr(tgt)
Rfam family: tRNA
About the family: Transfer RNA (tRNA) molecules are approximately 80 nucleotides in length. Their secondary structure includes four short double-helical elements and three loops (D, anti-codon, and T loops).
Source: RNAcentral